This 804-nucleotide long non-coding RNA is filed under the name Anas platyrhynchos platyrhynchos (common mallard). RNAcentral's name for it is "lncRNA (ENSAPLG00000021890.1)". The record is from RNAcentral. Lineage: Eukaryota; Metazoa; Chordata; Aves; Anseriformes; Anatidae.
CUGCAGGGUGCUUAAGUUUCCCUUUGAGGUUCUUCCUCAGUUCAGAUCAACUUUCUAGUGAGGCACUAGAAUUAAAAACAAACAAACAAACAAACAAGAAGCCAAACCAAAACAAAAAAACCUACUGUGGCAUUAAGCUCAACUUCAGUAUAAACAAAGUAGGGAAGAAUAAAUGAGAAUAAAGUUUUAUUUCUAAGAGCUAGGUUGCUUUUACUAGGGACUAGGACUGGAAGGGAGCUGAAAGAUUGAGAUUUAACAAAAAAAUAGUCUUUUUGUGUAUUUGUGUAUUUUUCUCCUUCUUUCAAAGGAGAAAAAGCAGACAAUCUUUUGAAAGAUAUAGAUAUUUUUUCUUUAGAUAUAUAACUUCAACUUCCUUAAGGAAAUCUAUUCUGUUACAUUCAAAUUCUACUAAUUAGUCUUGCCAAACCUUUCAAAAUCUCUAAAGUGUUCAGUAUCUUAAAUAAUGCUCUCUCUCUCUCUCUCUCUAGAACAUCUGCCAGAUCUGUUCCAUGUGCAGUUGGUUUCUGCUGAUAAUCCAUGUUCCGAAAGGUACCCACACCUCACCAAACUGAUGCGAGAAAGAUGUUGCUAACACUAAGGGGCCAAACCAGUUGCCCAAACAUAAGUGUCUAGAGCCACUUGAGACACUCUCAGGACCCUGAGGCACCUGUACAGAUCUUGCAAUUUAUGAUAACCUGUGAGGAACAUGCUGUCCUUCAUGUAAUAAGAAGAUACCAUAUGAACUCAAACGGGUUUAUACACAGGCAUCUGAGCCAAGAUGGACUGGAUGCCAUCGUGGAGUAG